This 939-nucleotide long non-coding RNA is filed under the name Penaeus japonicus. RNAcentral's name for it is "uncharacterized LOC122250288". The record is from RNAcentral. Lineage: Eukaryota; Metazoa; Arthropoda; Malacostraca; Decapoda; Penaeidae.
UUUAGUGUUUAGUAUUUGUGUGUGUGUGUGUGUGUGUGUGUGUGUGUGUGUGUGUGUGUGUGUGUGUGUGUGUGUGUGUUUGUCACGAGAUUGCCCUCGAAUGCGAUAUUAAAGUAAAAUCAAAUGUCAUCCAUUCACAUUUUUACUGUCAUUAUCGGAAAUUCAGACGAAACAGGAGGAAAAGGAGGAGAAAAGAAAGUAGAGGAGCGAGAGAGGGGGGUUGGGGAGAAGUGGAUAGAGAGUGAGAGAGAGAGAAAGACAGAGAGAUAGCACGCUCAUGAAAAGAAACACAUCACAUUCUUCCACAAUUUCCAUCUCUGAGCCCGCAUUCAUCAUCUAUGUUUAUGAAAUGUUUAUUAGCAAGAAACAUACCAUAUUACCGAGGGAAGGCGAAGGAAGCUGGAAGAACACUUCGAUGCUUAUUCUUUCCGAUAAUAGUUAUACUAACUAUUAUAAAUUUAUACAUGUGUGUAUAUUUAACAAAGGAAAGAGUGAGAAUUUCCCUAUCUUAUAAUAGUCUUAUAUUAACCCCUGGAGUCAAUAUAUAAAUAUCCUUUUCCUUUUCCUACGGCAUCUGAAUGUCUGAAUAUAGUGUCGGGUGUAAAGUGUGUAUCUGAACGCAUUAAUUUUUUUCUUUUACUCGUUUGAUACCUUAGAUUAUGAGUUUUCAUUAAGAAAAAAAAUAAAUAAGAUUCCUUUAUUUUUUACUGUGUUUACUCAUUAUCACAUCUGAAACAAGCCCAUUGUGUGCAGUAUCAUCUUUCGUGUUUCUUUGUUUGUUUUUGUUUCAGUUCCGGCGAAGGCGACGACGAGGACGAGCUUUGGUCCUCCGAUGAUGACCCCGAUUGGGUGCCCGAAGGAACCAGCCAGGAAGAGACUUCCAUCGAAGACAAUCAGAACAGCAAAGAGGAAAAAAUUGGAGAGCUCGAUCUAGAACGA